AUUGAACGCUGGCGGCAGGCCUAACACAUGCAAGUCGAACGAGUGGCGGACGGGUGAGUAAUGUAUGGGAAACUGCCCGAUGGAGGGGGAUAACUACUGGAAACGGUAGCUAAUACCGCAUACUAUCGGAUGUGCCCAGAUGGGAUUAGCUUGUUGGUGGGGUAACGGCUCACCUAGGCGACGAUCCCUAGCUGGUCUGAGAGGAUGACCAGCCACACUGGAACGGAGACACGGUCCAGACUCCUACGGGAGGCAGCAGUGGGGAAUAUUGCACAAGGGGCGCAAGCCUGAUGCAGCCGUGCCGCGUGUAUGAAGAAGGCCUUAGGGUUGUAAAGUACUUUCAGCGGGGAGACGUUACCCGCAGAAGAAGCACCGGCUAACUCCGUGCCAGCAGCCGCGGUAAUAC
RNAcentral lists this ribosomal RNA (406 nucleotides) under uncultured bacterium. Its description in RNAcentral is "partial 16S ribosomal RNA". It matches the Rfam family "Bacterial small subunit ribosomal RNA", at positions 30 to 526 of the family's 1533-position model. The record is from RNAcentral.